GGCAUUUCUGCUGCAUUAGCUUUAUCGCUAUAUUUAGAGUUGCAAUGCACUUUCUGGCUGAGGGAUAUCAUAUCUGAAUGGCUUCGUUAGAAAAUAUGAUGGCAAUCAUAUUUCAUACCAUGUGGUGGUGCUGCAGUCCAGUUCCUCGUUCUGUCAGAUGGAGAUGUACUCAGAUUUUUAAUAGCAGAACCAACAAGCACAGCAGGUCUGGACCUCACAGGGCACCCUUAUGAUUGAGAAUGAACUCAGACAGCAUGUGAUGAGCAAUUCUGUUUCGGACAUGGCACGGGGUGGGAACGGAAGGAUGAGGGAUGAGAAGACAGGAUGAUGAAGGGUAUUUUAGAGAAUGAGUUUACUGUAUGUGAUGUCACUCCUCACAGCGGGACUAUUCGUACAGCGGCGAAGUUUCAUUUCUGUCAUAAAUCUAUCUAUUCAAAAUAUACAGUCAAACGCAGCCUGCAGGCGUACAUCAACUUGUUUAUUGGUUUCUGUUGGGAUUGGGCACAGGUUU
Molecule: long non-coding RNA, 511 nt
Organism: Onychostoma macrolepis
Lineage: Eukaryota; Metazoa; Chordata; Actinopteri; Cypriniformes; Cyprinidae
Exons: 3
Source: RefSeq, a predicted model, not a curated record